UACAGAGGCUCCAAGCAUUAUCCGGAUUUACUGGGCGUAAAGGGUGCGUAGGCGGUGUUAUUAGUCGGGUGUUAAAUCCCGGGGCUCAACCUCAGAAUCGCAUUCGAAACGGUAACACUAGAAGAAGUCAGAGGUGAACAGAACUCUCGGUGUAGGGGUGAAAUCCGUUGAUAUCGAGGGGAAUACCAAAGGCGAAGGCAGUUCACUGGGGCUUUCUUGACGCUGAGGCACGAAAGCGUGGGUAGCGAAUCGG
RNAcentral lists this ribosomal RNA (253 nucleotides) under uncultured bacterium. RNAcentral's name for it is "partial 16S ribosomal RNA". It matches the Rfam family "Bacterial small subunit ribosomal RNA", at positions 524 to 776 of the family's 1533-position model. The record is from RNAcentral.